GUGUGAUUCAUGACUGGGGUGAAGUCGUAACAAGGUAGCCGUAGGGGAACCUGCGGCUGGAUCACCUCCUUAAUCGAAGACA
RNAcentral lists this ribosomal RNA (82 nucleotides) under Pseudomonas putida. Its description in RNAcentral is "partial 16S ribosomal RNA". The stretch from base 1 to 72 matches the Rfam family "Bacterial small subunit ribosomal RNA", at positions 1462 to 1533 of the family's 1533-position model. The record is from RNAcentral. Lineage: Bacteria; Pseudomonadati; Pseudomonadota; Gammaproteobacteria; Pseudomonadales; Pseudomonadaceae.